Molecule: transfer RNA, 103 nt
Filed under: Salmonella enterica
Lineage: Bacteria; Pseudomonadati; Pseudomonadota; Gammaproteobacteria; Enterobacterales; Enterobacteriaceae
Also listed under: 1 other name
Description: tRNA-Thr
Rfam family: tRNA
About the family: Transfer RNA (tRNA) molecules are approximately 80 nucleotides in length. Their secondary structure includes four short double-helical elements and three loops (D, anti-codon, and T loops). Further hydrogen bonds mediate the characteristic L-shaped molecular structure. tRNAs have two regions of fundamental functional importance: the anti-codon, which is responsible for specific mRNA codon recognition, and the 3' end, to which the tRNAs corresponding amino acid is attached (by aminoacyl-tRNA synthetases). tRNAs cope with the degeneracy of the genetic code in two manners: having more than one tRNA (with a specific anti-codon) for a particular amino acid; and 'wobble' base-pairing, i.e. permitting non-standard base-pairing at the 3rd anti-codon position.
Source: RNAcentral
GCCGACUUAGCUCAGUAGGUAGAGCAACUGGCUUGUAAUCAGUAGGUAGAGCAACUGGCUUGUAAUCAGUAGGUCACCAGUUCGAUUCCGGUAGUCGGCACCA